GGAGGAGUGACCGAGCGGCUCAAGGUAAAGGUUUGCUAAACCUUGGCCCCGGAAGGGGCCUCGUGGGUUCGAAUCCCACCUCCUCCGCCA
This 90-nucleotide transfer RNA is filed under the name bacterium. Its description in RNAcentral is "tRNA-Ser". It matches the Rfam family "tRNA". Rfam says of the family: Transfer RNA (tRNA) molecules are approximately 80 nucleotides in length. Their secondary structure includes four short double-helical elements and three loops (D, anti-codon, and T loops). The record is from RNAcentral.